This is a long non-coding RNA of Lynx canadensis (Canada lynx), 339 nucleotides long. RefSeq lists it as uncharacterized. The transcript has 4 exons. Lineage: Eukaryota; Metazoa; Chordata; Mammalia; Carnivora; Felidae. The record is from RefSeq and is a predicted model, not a curated record.
GGCUGUAUUCACCGAGCAGCUGGCCCCUGUUUACUGGCAGAAUGUCGUAACCUGAACGGCUGUGAAACUGGACAUGCAAAAAUCACAUGUGGCUAUGACCUGCCGGCAAAAUAUGUGAUCCACACUGUAGGACCAAUAGCCAGAGGCCAUAUUAAUGGUUCCCAUAAGGAAGACCUUGCAAAUUGCUAUAAAUCAUCUCUGAAGCUGGUGAAAGAAAAUAACAUCCGAUCAGUUGCAUUUCCCUGCAUCUCAACCGGCAUUUAUGGAUUCCCGAAUGAGCCUGCUUCCAUCGUUGCCCUCAGCACCAUUAAGGAAUGGCUGGCCAAGAAUCAUCACGAG